This is a long non-coding RNA of Photinus pyralis (common eastern firefly), 1392 nucleotides long. RefSeq lists it as uncharacterized. The transcript is spliced from 2 exons. The record is from RefSeq and is a predicted model, not a curated record. Lineage: Eukaryota; Metazoa; Arthropoda; Insecta; Coleoptera; Lampyridae.
UGUAUGUAAUAUUAUCACAGUGUGCUGUCAAUAAAACAUCCAAGCAGUGAUACACCCGUAAUACAAUUUGAAGAUGUAUCGAUAUUUUUUAACGACAACGGUAAAAUAGAUGUCUUGCGCGCAUUCAAAUACAAUCUAUUACUGACACACCAAUUCGCAACAAGUUUGAUGCUGUUUUCAACAUCCCGGACUGCUACAUCGACAUCUUCACUGGUUCCAAUUAAUGUCGCGCCAUCCGCAUAAAGUCUGCAGUCGAUAUUUGGUGACACCGAUGAAGGCAGGUCAUUUACAUAAAUUAGGAAAAGAAUAGGGCCUAGAAUAGAACCCUGAGGAACUCCAUGUCGUAGGGGCAAUUUGUUCGAUAGAACAUUAUUGAAUCUUACGCGUUGAUGUCUUCCCUUUGAAUACGAGGUGAACGCUUCGUUCACCAAAAUUGUACACAAACUUUAGUUUAUUCAACAAGCAUUCGAAAACACCAUGCACAAAUGUGGAGAUGGCAUCAGGCGUCCUUCUCCCCUACUGUUUGUGAUAAAAAAGAUUAUUAGUCUCAAAAUGAUUUGCAAUUGCAUUCGCAUAAUUUAUUUGGCGUAAAUUAUCUUUUGCCAUUGAAUGAGAAGAAAUGUUAUCACUGACCUUAACAUUGAGCGAUUGAAAUUUAUUUAACAAUAAAACUUGAUUUUGCAAUGAUUUAAUUGUGAUGUCUUGGUUAACAAUCACUUUGUCUUUUUCAGCAAUUAACUCUCUUAAAAAUUUAAUUUCAAGUUCAAAAAACUUAUCGUUAUCGUCCACCAGAAGAACACUAUCACUAUCACAGCAAUUUACAUGCUUGUCGUCUAGAGCCCGGUUCCGGCACGUCCGUACCGCCUGGCGUCAUGGUAUAGGUUGCAAACAAUGACUUUUAAAUCUCAAUCAGUGACUAAUGACUGAUAAAGAUUAAUUAGUCACGUAUCCACUUAGCAAAGCCAAAGGGUGUAGCACAGUAUUUCAUUUUGUUUCAACAAUUAAAAUAAAUAAACUGCGAUGGCUCAACAAGAACCUUCUACAUCGGUGAAACACCGGACUUUUAUGAGAGAACCAAUGGGUAAUAAGCCGGUAAACCAUUUGCCGGGUAUCGGCCAGGUGACCAGUGCCCGAAUGAAUGAAAGAAACAUUACUCAGGCGUAUCAAGUUUACGGAAAAUAUCUGUUCUUAAAGCGAGAUCGUGUUGAAUUUGAAAAUUGGUUGAAAAAUGAUUUUAAUGUCAACAGCAAGCGAGCAACGGACUGUUUUAAUGCGAUGGAUAGUUAUUACAUCCAGUUCCAAUAACUCGCUCUAGCACUCGCUUGAAAUAAUUUUGUCCGUUUAUAGAUGUUUAUAUCUGUUGAGACAAUAAAGAUUUACUAUUUUUUCCUA